Molecule: ribosomal RNA, 484 nt
Filed under: uncultured Pseudosporangium sp.
Lineage: Bacteria; Bacillati; Actinomycetota; Actinomycetes; Micromonosporales; Micromonosporaceae
Description: bacterial SSU rRNA
Rfam family: Bacterial small subunit ribosomal RNA
Source: RNAcentral
CGUGAGCAACCUGCCCUGGACUUUGGGAUAACCCUCGGAAACGGGGGCUAAUACCGGAUACGACACGCCUUCGCAUGGGGUGCGUGUGGAAAGUUUUUCGGUCUGGGAUGGGCUCGCGGCCUAUCAGCUUGUUGGUGGGGUGAUGGCCUACCAAGGCGACGACGGGUAGCCGGCCUGAGAGGGCGACCGGCCACACUGGGACUGAGACACGGCCCAGACUCCUACGGGAGGCAGCAGUGGGGAAUAUUGCACAAUGGGCGGAAGCCUGAUGCAGCGACGCCGCGUGAGGGAUGACGGCCUUCGGGUUGUAAACCUCUUUCAGCAGGGACGAAGCGUAAGUGACGGUACCUGCAGAAGAAGCGCCGGCCAACUACGUGCCAGCAGCCGCGGUAAGACGUAGGGCGCGAGCGUUGUCCGGAUUUAUUGGGCGUAAAGAGCUCGUAGGCGGCUUGUCGCGUCGACUGUGAAAACCCGCGGCUCAACC